AUUGAACGCUGGCGGCAGGCCUAACACAUGCAAGUCGAGCGGAAACGAUCCUAGCUUGCUAGGAGGCGUCGAGCGGCGGACGGGUGAGUAACGCGUGGGAAUCUACCGAGUAGUGGGGGACAACUUAGGGAAACUUAAGCUAAUACCGCAUACGCCCUACGGGGGAAAGAGGGGGAUCUUCGGACCUCUUGCUAUUCGAUGAGCCCGCGUCAGAUUAGCUAGUUGGUGGGGUAAAGGCCUACCAAGGCGACGAUCUGUAGCUGGUCUGAGAGGAUGAUCAGCCACACUGGGACUGAGACACGGCCCAGACUCCUACGGGAGGCAGCAGUGGGGAAUAUUGGACAAUGGGGGCAACCCUGAUCCAGCCAUGCCGCGUGUGUGAAGAAGGCCUUCGGGUUGUAAAGCACUUUCAGUUGUGAGGAAGGGGAGUAGGUUAAUAACCUGCUUCAUUGACGUUAACAACAGAAGAAGCACCGGCUAACUUCGUGCCAGCAGCCGCGGUAAUACGAGGAGUGCAAGCGUUAAUCGGAAUUACUGGGCGUAAAGCGCGCGUAGGCAGUUAUUUAAGCCAGAUGUGAAAUCCCCGGGCUCAACCUGGGAACUGCAUUUGGAACUGGGUAACUAGAAUGCAGCAGAGGAUAGUGGAAUUUCAGGUGUAGCGGUGAAAUGCGUAGAGAUCUGAAGGAACAUCAGUGGCGAAAGGCGACUGUCUUGGCCUGACAUUGACCCUAAGGUGCGAAAACCUUGGGUAGCAAAACAGGAUUAAAAUACCCCGGGUAGUCCACCGCCGUAAACCGAUGUCUACUAACCCUUUGGGAUCUUUAAAAAUUUUAUUGGCCCCACCUAACGCGGAAAAUUAAACCGCCCGGGGGAAUAACGGCCGCCACAAUUAAAACUCCAAGGGAAUUUGACGGGGGGCCCGCA
RNAcentral lists this ribosomal RNA (924 nucleotides) under uncultured Halioxenophilus sp. RNAcentral's name for it is "bacterial SSU rRNA". It matches the Rfam family "Bacterial small subunit ribosomal RNA", at positions 28 to 925 of the family's 1533-position model. Lineage: Bacteria; Pseudomonadati; Pseudomonadota; Gammaproteobacteria; Alteromonadales; Alteromonadaceae. The record is from RNAcentral.